AGUGAACGCUGGCGGUAGGCCUAACACAUGCAAGUCGAACGGCAGCACAGUAAGAGCUUGUUCUUACGGGUGGCGAGUGGCGGACGGGUGAGGAAUACAUCGGAAUCUACUUUUUCGUGGGGGAUAACGUAGGGAAACUUACGCUAAUACCGCAUACGACCUACGGGUGAAAGCAGGGGAUCUUCGGACCUUGCGCGAUUGAAUGAGCCGAUGUCGGAUUAGCUAGUUGGCGGGGUAAAGGCCCACCAAGGCGACGAUCCGUAGCUGGUCUGAGAGGAUGAUCAGCCACACUGGAACGGAGACACGGUCAAGACUCCUACGGGAGGCAGCAGUGGGGAAUAUUGGACAAUGGGCGCAAGCCUGAUCCAGCCAUACCGCGUGGGUGAAGAAGGCCUUCGGGUUGUAAAGCCCUUUUGUUGGGAAAGAAAAGCAGCAGGUUAAUACCCCGCUGUUCUGACGGUACCCAAAGAAUAAGCACCGGCUAACUUCGUG
This 492-nucleotide ribosomal RNA is filed under the name uncultured bacterium. Its description in RNAcentral is "partial 16S ribosomal RNA". It matches the Rfam family "Bacterial small subunit ribosomal RNA", at positions 29 to 507 of the family's 1533-position model. The record is from RNAcentral.